GAGGGUGCUUUUUCAUUGGCUACCAUGAAAAGAAGUGUGUGAAACAUUGGGUGAUAGUUGAAAAAGAGGUUAAAAAUUAGAAGAGGAAUCAAAUAAGAAAGCAUCAUUUGGAGGAUCUCCAAUUCAGAAAGGGAUUCCUAAUUCUUCCCAAGCAAAAAGUCCCCUUUUUGUUUUGCUGCUCUUUAGAUUGCAUCAUUUGACUUUGGAUGAUAAAAUAUUUAUUUGUGU
Molecule: long non-coding RNA, 228 nt
Filed under: Phaseolus vulgaris (common bean)
Lineage: Eukaryota; Viridiplantae; Streptophyta; Magnoliopsida; Fabales; Fabaceae
Description: long non-coding RNA (PVUL_LNC002040)
Source: RNAcentral